CUCAGAAUGAACGCUGGCGGCGUGCUUAACACAUGCAAGUCGCACGAGAACACCUCAGCUUGCUGGGGUAAGUAAAGUGGCGCACGGGUGAGUAACGCGUGGGUAAUCUGCCCUCGAAUCUGGGAUAACCCCGCGAAAGCGGGGUAAUACCGGAUGAAAUCCAGUUAGCUUUGGCUAUAUGGAUCAAAGGUGGCCUCUGCAUGCAAGCUACUGUUUGGGGAUGAGCCCGCGUACCAUUAGCUUGUUGGUGGGGUAAAGGCCCACCAAGGCGACGAUGGUUAGCUGGUCUGAGAGGAUGAUCAGCCACACUGGAACUGGAACACGGUCCAGACUCCUACGGGAGGCAGCAGUGAGGAAUUUUGCGCAAUGGGGGUAACCCUGACGCAGCAACGCCGCGUGAGUGAUGAAGGCCUUCGGGUCGUAAAGCUCUGUCAAGUGGGAAGAAACCCAUUCCGGCACAACAAGCCGGGGUGCUGACGGUACCACUGAAGGAAGCACCGGCUAAACUCCGUGCCAGCAGCCGCGGUAAUACGGAGGGUGCGAGCGUUAUUCGGAAUUACUGGGCGUAAAGGGCGCGUAGGCGGCCGAUUAAGUCAGAUGUGAAAUCCCGGGGCU
Molecule: ribosomal RNA, 615 nt
Filed under: uncultured organism
Description: bacterial SSU rRNA
Rfam family: Bacterial small subunit ribosomal RNA
Source: RNAcentral